Long non-coding RNA from Paramacrobiotus metropolitanus, 1142 nucleotides. RefSeq lists it as uncharacterized. The record is from RefSeq and is a predicted model, not a curated record. The transcript is spliced from 3 exons. Lineage: Eukaryota; Metazoa; Tardigrada; Eutardigrada; Parachela; Macrobiotidae.
CCAUGCAGUGGCGGCAGUUUACGCAAUAGUAUUUACGUAUGCGCUGGUUAUGCGCUUGUUGAAUGUGUCUGACCAGCAAGCAAUUCUCGUUGGCGUGUUCAUGCCGGCUCCUGUCUUUAUCAUGUUUUUCCAACUCAUUCCGCUCACUUUUACGGCAUAUAUUAUGAUCGUCGUGUCUAUCGUAUUCUCUUUUUAUGGUAUCACACUGGGUUUGGCUUUCAGUAAGAUCAGUCGAUUAGUGGAAGAGCAGUUUCGACAGUAUUGCGAAGGGAUUAUAGCAGUCACAGAACUCAAGAAAGAUCUACGAAGUUGCCGGGAAAGACAUUUAGAAUUGUCAGAUUUUGUUUUUCCAACUGGAUAAUGUUUUUUCGCCGGUGUUCCUUAUUGGAUUGGCCGGUAACAGCGUAGCCCUAGUGGUUCUCACGCACACUGUUACCGGUAGUUCGUCUUUUAACUUCGGGUAUCUUUUUCGUUAUGAUUGGGUCAAUGUUAUGUAUUUCAUAAUGGCGGCAGUUGGAAGUUUCAUCGCUGUACUGAUACCCUUAAUAAUUGCCAGCUAUACUCAUAUUCAGGCGCGAUCUAUUGUCGACAUCUUCGCCAUUAUUCUGGAACGACGGGCGGAAAAAGACGAAUACGAUGCGUGGCAGUUAAACGACACUAUACAGAGACUGCGUGAAAAGCCGGUCCGGUUCACCGUCUGGAAGCUUUUAGGCAUAAACACAGAUUUUAUAGUAACAAUGUUGGGAAUGGUCAUUACGUAUAUUGUGCUUUUGCGCGAGUUGACCGGGCGCGAUGAGAGAGUAUGCAGCUGUCAAUGGAGAGGAUUUCCGGUCAAUGCAUCUUUGGCUUGGCGCCUGUGAUGAGAUGAAUAAUUAUGUAUCGCGGCUUCGCAAGGAUGGAGACGGUUAAGGGCGUAUACACCUGGACCGAUGGGAGACAGGUUUAACCCAAGGAUAGCCAUGCUAGAACGACAAUACUGAGCUCGGAAACGAAAAUUUCAUGUUCCAGCUUCGUUCGGUGCUAGCAGAUGUCAGGGUCUACUGAAUUUUGAAUGGUGCUCUUUUAAAUUUGCAGUGUGCAGUGCUGUACUGUCUGUACUGUACUGCGUUAUAUAAUGUACUUUGCCUGGAACUAUGCAAUAC